RNAcentral lists this ribosomal RNA (253 nucleotides) under uncultured bacterium. RNAcentral describes it as "partial 16S ribosomal RNA". It matches the Rfam family "Bacterial small subunit ribosomal RNA", at positions 524 to 776 of the family's 1533-position model. The record is from RNAcentral.
UACGUAGGGACCAAGCGUUGUCCGGAUUUAUUGGGCGUAAAGAGCUCGUAGGCGGCCCUCCACGUCGGAUGUGAAAGCUCAGGGCUCAACCCUGAGAUGCCAUUCGAUACGGGAAGGCUAGAGGUAGGUAGGGGAAAGUGGAAUUCCUGGUGUAGCGGUGAAAUGCGCAGAUAUCAGGAGGAACACCAAUGGCGAAGGCAGCUCGCUGGGACGGUACUGACGCUGAGACGCGAAAGCGUGGGGAGCAAACAGG